GUGUGUGUGUGUGUGUAUGUGUGUGUAUAUAUAUGUGUAUAUAGAUAUAGAUAUAGAUAUAUACACACAUACACACACAUAUAUGUAC
RNAcentral lists this microRNA precursor (88 nucleotides) under Podarcis lilfordi (Lilford's wall lizard). The record is from RNAcentral. Lineage: Eukaryota; Metazoa; Chordata; Lepidosauria; Squamata; Lacertidae.